Molecule: long non-coding RNA, 1339 nt
Organism: Dromiciops gliroides (monito del monte)
Lineage: Eukaryota; Metazoa; Chordata; Mammalia; Microbiotheria; Microbiotheriidae
Exons: 3
Source: RefSeq, a predicted model, not a curated record
GCUGGUAGGCAGCUGCCAGGGGCCUCCAGGGUGGUCCUGGGGGGAUGCCCCUCCUCUGGUGCUCACCAGCUGGGGGGCUCUGAGCUUCCCAGCAGUUCAGGGGAUGUUCAGAGGAGAUAAUGCCUUCCCCGGGAGGGAGAAAACACUAAGGUCUGGAGAGAAAAUGGGGACCCCCAGCAGGAACCAGACGGAGGGGAGAGAAGAAAGAGCACACCACCUGUGCAGCAAGGACAGCAAGGGAGGGGCACAAGCCCCCCAGGCCCCCCCAAGAACGCAGGACACUCACCCGCCUCUUCAGGGUUCCUGGACUGACGGGUGGCAGCGAGAGCAAGAUGAUGAGAAGGACGAAGCUGACCUGAGUCACCAGUGCCAUUGUUCUUGGGCCGGAGAGAUGGAGGGGAUAUGGCUGAAUAUUGAGCUCCCACUGCCCUCUCACAGAGACUGGAGGAAGAAAAGGUCUCGCCCAGAACUCCUCGCGGGACUUUAAAGGAAAACGAGGCAGUUGUGAGGACCGGAAGAAUGAGGAUCUGGGGCUGAGGCUUCAGGGGGAAGGGUGCUGCGGUAACCUCUGGUGGCCGGAAGCUCGGACUAUUCACAUCCCAUUCUCUGUUUUCUCUGCAAAGGAGAAAUGACUCGGCUCAGGAAGGAAAAUGAAUGUGACUGUCUCUGGACCUGUACUGAUAUCUCUAGAGCUUACUACCUGCUCUCUCCUGGGAUCCAGUGGAAGCUGAAUGUUUGCUCAGGAGGACUCUGGCUGCCCCCCCUUGACCCCCGGAUCCUGCCUGCGUUAGCUGUCCAUCGCUUGCACGCACAGCAGUCUUCUGUCCCUGGGCACAGGUGAUGUCUUCACUCGUGCAUGAAUCUAACUGAGGCAGAGUUGUGGCCAACCUCGCUCUCUCCCAGCCAUCCACGCCCAGUGGCAGGACUAGUCGGGAUGACAGGCCACGGCCGGACGCCGUGGAUUGACCUUGGCGUCUCCGACGUCUGCCGAGCUCUAAUCGCUCCUCAGAGGCUUCGGCCGCCUUCGCCUUGGCGGCCCCUGGAGUAAAUCACUCUCCUCCGCCCAUUCCACAAGGGGGACAUUUGCGCGUGCUUGAGGUGGGCACCCCCUAACUCGCAGGCGGGUUUUGGGGCCGUCUGCCGAGAUGGCUUUACCAGGGAGUGUCCGGUGCUGCACCUGCUACAGCUUCUCGGAGCCAGAGUGAGAUCUGGGGGAAGGUGGGCCCCAAAGGUGCAUGGGCAGCCCUCACACGGUGGGUGCUGGUCCUCUCUGGACACCCCUUGAAUGGGGUGUCUUAAAUAGCAGGCUAACGAGUUUGCAUUUUAUCCCAAACACAAG